CUUCCCUCCCCUUCUGUCUGUCUCCAUCUUUUCCUACUGAUGAAGACAUUGACAAAUGGGAGUCGGGAGGGGAAGAGGCCCAGUCAGCCACCACCUCCACUGACUUGAAACCACCACACAGCACGGCCACCCAUUUGUCUUCAUCCCUUGCCUUCCCCGUCCUUAAGGAGCUGGAAUCCUGUGGGAUUGUUGCCUCAGUGUCCCCAUCUCUACAACUGGUGCAGUAAAUCCUGCCAGGUCCACCUCCCAAGGGAUGCUAGGAGCCCAGAGGCAAUACGUGGAAAGGGUUUUGUCAACUGCACAGGCUUGUGCAAGGCUAAUGGUUGGUGUCCCCAGCUUCUUCCUGUUUAGUGUGGGAAUAAAGGCCCAGCCUGCCCUCCUCUUGGGAGAAGUCAGGCCAGAAUGCAGCAUGAGCAGACAGAAAAAUGCCUUGGAGGAUAUAAAUGGCAGCAGGAAGGCAAGGCAUGGCCAUCAGGGUAAUGCUCCUCACUGCAUCAGUGUGAGGGGAGCUGGGGAAACCAAGGCCCAGAGAGUAGCCACCCAGCUGCAUUAGAGGCUGGAUCGGAGCAAUGGCCAGGCCCCCCAGUCCCACGAUGCCAGCACCACAACCAGGAUGCUCAGCCCUGGCUCUUCCGGACCUUCCAAGAGGCUCUGUUCCUCCAGUGUUUUCUCCCAAAAUGUUGGAAAGAAAUCAGCUUUCCCUUUUUUUAAGUAAGCCCUGCCCAACCCAGCCCACAGCACAGCCCACAGCUGAUGGGGAAGCCCCGCUGCAGACCGGGGGGCAUCCAGGGUGUGGCCAGGGGGCGCGAGGCACAGGCGGACUGGUCAAUGUCUCAUUUGAUGUAGGACUUUUAGUUUUAAAACUGAGACGGUUCCCAGCUAACCAGGCUGAGUUGGUCACCCUACAUGGGGUAGACACUCGGCAACACCAAAGUGCUGGGCAAAUGCAGGGGUGGGCGUUUUCACUGAAGAGAGCAAAACCCUGCUCACCCCCCCACCGUGUGAGCUUGGCCAAGGCCCCAGAAGCCCGAAGGAGAGGAAGUCCUGGUCUAGCGGCAGUUUCAGGGCCUGUGGGGCCAUGUCUGACACCGGCCACAGCACAGAUGUGCCCAAGGAAGAGGGGGAGGGGUCAUGGGUCCUUCACAGCUGAGGAAACUUGAGGUUCAGAGAAGGGAAGCGAUUGCCAAGGUCACACACUGAGUUAGGCACCCGACACUCAGACAGGGCCCGGCUUUUCCAUCCCCAGAGCCUCCCAGGUCCUGGGGGGGCCCUGGCACAGAAGAGAACUUCAGUGAAGGCUGGAGCUCGGACUCAAAGCUCUGGUCCACACCAGGCGCUUCCCCGGGACUCACAGGAACCCCCGCGCCCAGCACACACCACCCAGAGUGGGAAGGGGACUGGGCAUGUGCAAAGCCAGAGAGUGCACCCCUUCUUCCUCCCCCCACUCUGCACGCCCUGGCCAGGUCCCCCUGCCCCAUCCCCCUGAGGCCUGUGGUCUGAGGUGAACUGCAGACUUUUAAUCAGACCACCCGGGUGCAGAGCGGCAAGGCCACAGAUGAAGGACACAGGGACAGGGGAGCCCAGAGGAGGCCCCGACCCAUCUGGGGUGGAGGCUCCUGGAAAUGGUGACUCUUGAGGUAAAGCAGGGUUGGACAAGCAGAGCAAGGGCCCUACAGGCAGAGGGACUCGCAUGUGAGAGCAUGAUGCCCCUGUGACAUUAUUCCUCGCUUGGGGAAUGGCUGGAGCAUAGAGUCAUGGGGUUUGGGGUACAAGUGGACGGUGAGGUCUGGGGCUGGAGAGAUGCCAGGUGCGCAUUAGGUCUUAAAGGGCCUUGAAUAUCAGGCAAACAGACUUGAUCCUAUGAGAGGCGGAUGUCACAAUAGGAUGCUGAGCAAGGGCAGGACACAGCUCUACAGGUCUAAGAGCACUCAGCUGCAUAACAGCGGACAGACAGAGGAAGAGAACGACAUCAGGUCGGUGUGCCGCAGGUGUCCGGGGGGGCCACAGGAGGAUGGGGAAAGGACCUGGCAGGUGACAGAGGAGGAAUUGAAGGACUUGGCAUCUUUAGAGUACAGGCGGGGAGACUGAGGCCCAGGGAGGAGCAGAGACUUGCUCAGGUCACUCAGCAAGUCGGUGACAAGGAAGAAGGCAGAAGGGAAAGUGGCCCAAGGAACCUGGGCCUCAGGGCUGAGUUCUGGAAGCAGAACCCAAAAAGUCCAGCUACCCUCCAUCUGCCUGCCCAGAAUCCACCUACCAAGCCAGCGACACUCCUACCAACCCUCACCAGGCAGCAAGGAGCUCGAGGGCCAAAGGUCUCCACCCCCAGGCCAGGACUGGCCCUGAGCCCAGCUCCAGGGACAAGGAAUCUGCUCAGGGUGCUGGAUGCAGGGCAGGUGGAGCAAGGACCAAUGGGUAAAGGGGAAACGAAGGACAGAGAGGGAUGCACGUCCGCCGAGAGGAGACCGUCACUAAAUUUCGGAGGAUUCACGCGAGGGAUAGCAUCCGGCCCUUGAAACAGUGACGUGAAUCUGCUGUUAUCAACAUGGAAGCGCGUAUGAUGUCGGAAGACAACAACUGUCAUAGCACAUCCUCGUUUUUGUUAAAAAAAAAAUACUUGCAUUCAUGCACACCAGCUCACAUGUGGAGAAGAACCUGUGGGAGGUGCUGCUGACACGGGGAAAUCACCCAGGUGACAGUCACCUUCCUCUUGUCACUUUUCCAUACUGUCUGUGCUUCUUUUAUUACAAGUAUGAAAUUACUUUUAUAUAAUCAGAAGAAGUUACUGCCAUUGGAAAAAUAAAUGAAGAAAAUCAACCGAAGCGAGUGUCAGCUCAGCACUCCCCUAGCUGUGCGGCCCGGCUGAGCCCCUGUCCUCCCCGAGCCUCCAGGUCCUCACCAGGAAAAUGGAGAUGACAACUAACUCGGCGGCCACCUCCUCCCAGGACGGCUGCGACGCACAAAUGCUGUGGUUCUAAUUGGCUGAGGGGCUGGGACCCGAAACGGUCUCCAGAGUGGGAGCAUAGAGUCCUUUGUGGCACCUCAAGGCCAGUGACCAGAGGAGGAUGGUGGCCACAGGCCCAUUCCCAUGGACUCCUGGAUUGGCAGUCCUGAGAGGUUUCGGGCUGUCCGUCCUGCCAUGUUCCGAGGGGCAGGUGUGUGGAGGCCGUGGGGGACACAGGAGCCCAGGGCCCUGCCUCUCUGAGUGGGGCAGUCACCAGAGGGCGUUCCGGGCGACAGAGAGCAUCCUGGGUUCCGCACCCCCAACACGGCCAGUUUGCGGGUACCUGGGCUGGGCCCUGACAGGGACACAGAGUCAGACCAGGUGCGGGGGCGGGGACCUCACUGUCGGACCCCUCCUGAGCCACUCCAGCUUCGGGGCUCUUCCCUGGGCCUGCGACAGACCACAGCUGGUGAGAGGAGCCAGGGUGGGCAUGGCUGUCAAUUAAAACUGCUGCCUGAGGGCCCACGUCCUGCCUGAGGGCACCCAAGGGCCAGGACUGCUCAGGAGGGAGAGGGACACCCUGGGCAGGGGCUGGCAGAGAGGGACGCCUGGGUGCCUGGAAGGGAAGGCAGGCGGCAGGCACACUGUGGUUAUGGCUGGGACCUGUGAAGGCCUGUCUCCCUCUCGCUGCAGCCAGCCAGGCGUGGCCCCCUCCUGCCACUGCCCAUGGCCGCCGGGGAUCAACUUCCCUGGGCUCUUCCUCAGCGAGGUGCGGUGACAGUGGGGCGGGGCAUGGCCGGGGUCCUGCAGGAGCAGCCCCCAGCAGGGCCUCGCCUGUGGCUUCUUCUGCCAAUCGAUGCUGUUAUUUCAGUGAGCUCCCAGCAGUCUGGGCAGGCAGGGCCAGGCCACGGCAGUGGUGGCCCGAUGGCCCUGUGGGAGCCCAGAGCCCUUUCCGUGCAGGUUGACUUGCUGCAGUCCCAACCCCGCAGGAGACGGCAGACGGUGACGGUGGCGGUGGGUGGGAGGGCACUGUUCCCACUGGAGUCCCGCUGGAACGGAGGACACCCCAGCUCUGAGAAUGGGUCCCCAUUGGCACCUGGAGUGGAUCUCCGGCUGCCAGGGCCCUGGUUUCACCGUCUGAAGCCUCGGCUGCAAACGCUCCUGUUGCAGGGCAAGCACCAAGAAGCCCAGGCCUGCGGCCGGCCGCUGCCUCACGGGUGCUUUCUGGGCUUCAGGUGACCCAGCUCACAAGAGGGGCCUGGUUACGGUCCCUAAAGGACGCCCAGCUCCCCUCUCCAGAGUCAAGGGCCCGUCAGGGCCUUCUCAGAAGCUCCUGAGGCCCCCAUAGCUGACCAAUAUCUUACCGUCCAAAGUGUGACAUUUCCUGAGUCCCAUUCAUCAUUCACAUGCCACCCUCAAAUGAUGCCUCUGUGCCCGGCCUUGUGGUCCUGUGGUCCCCCACCUCAAACUGCUCACAGACUCUCCCAAGCAACCCAGAGCUCCUACGAUGGGCUGUGACAUGGGUGCACAAGGCCGUGGGCAUACAGACAUGGGAGCAGUUACAUCACACCAGGAAGAUGGGGAGGACUUCAUGGAGUGGCAACGAGCUGGGUUUUGAAGGAUGAGUAGGAAUCAGGGAAGGACAAUCCAAGCAGAGGGGAAAGUAUGUAGAGUCAGGGAAUUCCAUGGGGGUUCAGAGAAAUGAAGACCACACUUGGGAUGCUCUUGAUGACUUGGGCUCUUGGAAUUUUCCGGAGGAAGGAUGGUAAAGGGGGAAUGACACUUCCAGAGUGACUGGGGCCGACACUUCUUGAGGUCACCUGCAUCAGCAACAUGUUGCUAGGUCCUCAGUUUCCCUAAUCUGUACAGUGGGAAGAAUAAUCACCACCUCACAGGCAAUGGCCAAGGGAGGCCUUCGGAAAUUCUGGAGGGUCACGACCAUGGGAGGCUGGACAAGCGGGCCUUAGGUCGGGGCUAUGGGGUCUCCAGAGAAGAGGCCCUCUCCCAGCCACAGCCCCCAGGCCAGGGAGGCACUGCCGGACAUUGCGGCCACUCACCCGCUUCCUCCACACCCUCAGGGCCCCAGCCCCCACCCCCGCAGGGUGGACAGAGAGAGCUCGGCGAGGAGGAGCCUGAGGAAGACUCCGACCCAGCAGACGGACCUGGUCAGACAGAUCCUGUCUCCACCACUAGAGAGUCAUGACACUGGCUUAAGAGUCACUUCUCCCCUUUGAGCCUCAGUUGCAUCUGUUAUUAGUAACUCCCUUGAGGGAAUUAUUUAUUUCGGAACCCCUAGGGCCCAGCACAAAGCUGGCAAGUGGACAACGUGGAGAAGAAGGAUCUGAAAUGAGGGAAGAACAAGGACACGUCGUGGGAGCUCAGGGACUGGGAGGCUGGAGGACAAGGGUCAGGGAAGGCCACCUGGGGGGGUGGCAUCUCCACCAGGCCUUCAAAGACUGGGUGCUCUGCAUGUGCAGCGUCUGCAGGGCUGGUGUUGGCGGUGCUGUUAGAACUGGGGCCCCGGGCCUGGUUCCACAGCCCCAGAACACAGCCCCGCACCCUCCCACAGGCCCUGGCCUGGCUUCCUGGGGGCAGCGCAGGCCUGGCGUCUGACCACGAACCCUGAGGCCAGGAAAGCUUCCACUUGGCCACAUCCCUUUGGAGAGGGGACACACGCAGCCCACUCCAUCAGCCCUCGGGGCUUCUUCUCGCCCUCUCCCGGGGGGCUUCUCUCUAGCUUCACUUGCUGCAGCUACUUCCCCAAGGAGGGGAAACUGUCAAGUCAGCUGCCUGCAGACGGCUGGGGGGGACAAGCCGGCCAGCCCUGAGCCUGCUUCACCGGGGCCCCCAGCAGGCCUGGGAAAGCCAAGGGGCCCCAGAGGGGAACUCGGUCCCAGGGGGUCAGGUGAGAAGGCCCACGGGAGAGCCUUCAGCACACAGUCCCAAGGCCUGCGGGGGCCAGCCCUGGAGGCACAGCCCUGGGCCUAGAGAAGAGGGGAGCUUGGGGCCUGCUGGGCAGAGCCCUGGGGGCUGUGGGGCUUGCCCCCCUUUCCAGGAACAGCCAGGAGGAAGGGAGCGCAAGGCCAGACAGGACGACUAGCCUUGGGACAUGCCCAUGGCCCAAGGGAGGCUCUCCUCUGCCGCUCCCAGGGCCCCAGGCCACUCACUCACUGAGAACAACCAGGCCUGCUUGCCUCCUGCCUUCCCUCGGCCCCUCCCUGGGCAACUUUCUCCACUUCCAGGUCCAUCUCAGGGCUGAUGGCAUCGGGCCACCUGCACUGUGGCUGAAGCCAACCCCCGCUGCAGGAGCCUUCAGACAUCUGGCUAACAAAUGGAGGCGGGGGAAGCAGGGGUCUGGGUAGGCAGGGACCUAGAACCUCAGCGAAACUCCACCCUCCAACAACGGUCAGACCCAGCGCCAUUCACUGAUCACUCACUGUGCACCAGGCACAUCAUCUCGUUUAAUCCUCACAUCUCCACGUGGGAGACGCUGUUGUCACUCCCAAGGCCAUUCAGCCAGGGUGACUGCUCUGAUAGAAAACCAGGUGUGUCUGAUUCAGGACUCCACUGAGUUGUGAUUUCAACACAGGUCCCUAAGUCCACUCUCCCAACUCCUGUAUCUCAGCCUUAGAGAGACAGGGUAGCCGUGAGGGCUUCCUGGAGGAGGUGACACCUGAGCUGAAUCUUCUAAGAUAACAAAAAGAAGGUAGCCCGGUGAGGGAGCUGAAAGAGUAUUCCAGGCAGACAGAAUGGCAUGUGCAAAGGCCUGGAGGUCAGAAGCAGUAGGAGGGCCAGAGUGUGACAGAAGCUACAGUUUGGUGUCGCAGGCUCAUAGGAAGAGGUGGGAAGAGGCAGGAGAGGAGUAGGCAACAGGAGCUGGUUACAGAGGUCCAAAUGCAGAGGAAUCUAAGCUGACUCUAUCCUAUGGGUAUGUGGGAACCUCAGGAAGACAGAAUGGUGGGGUCGCCUGGUAGAAGGAGGAACUGAGGUUCAGAGAGGAGAACUAUCUGUCUGAUGACUCCAUCCACAAAAGGAGACCCAGCUGGGCCUGGUGUCCGGAGUGCGAGGACGGGGCCGAGGCCAAAAGCAGGUUGCAGCCCCGGCUGGGAGCUGUGGCGGAGCUCUAAUUACACGGCUGCUUCCAGCAGGCCUCAGCUCCUGCAGCUGGGCGCCGCCCAGCAAGGAACGCUCGGCCACGGGAGACCUGGCUGCGGCCGCUCUUUAUUAGAGCUGGGGCGGAGGGCUGAGGGGCUGGGGGAACAGGACAGCCCAAAGAAGCCUGAACAAGGGAGAGGAAGCUGAGCCCAGAACCGCUCCCUCAUCUACCCACAAAGAGAAGUAGAGUUCUCCCAGAGUCUGGGGGGUUGGGGGCCUGAUGUCAUCUCAAGAUGGGGAAACAGAGGCCUGGGAGGACUCGCCCAAGGUCACCAGCUAGGGCUUGAGACAGCACAGGCUCCAGAGUUGGGCACCUGCAUUCACACCCCAGCGAUUUCACUUAAAAAUCAUACACCUUUAAGCCCGUUACUUCGCCCCUCUGUGCCUUUGUAAAAUGGGGUGAAUGCGGAUGCUUCCCAGAGCUGCCCCACUGUCCAGAAUGGAAGCAGGCGACCCGUGGAGACUCGGCACAGGGCCUGGUCCUCAGCAAGUGCUCGCUGUUGCUGCUGUUACUCUGGGAGCAGAGGGGUGGCCCGUCUCCGGCCCCAGACACUAAGGAGCAACAGGAAACUGAGGCCAAGGGGCCAGCUGGCCUACGUGACCCAGGUCCACGCCACCUCCCCUGGCUGGGCCGCCCCUGGGCUUCCUUGGGCCUGGCCCUCCGGCUUCCAGCCCCUUCCUCCACUUUGAAGGCCCUUUGAGCAGGGAACUGAAGCCCCAGGAGCUUUUCCUGCCCCAUCCUGCCGGCUCUAUUCGUGUCUCCAAAGGGCCAAGUGCCACUUGCUGUGGAUGAGGAGCAGGACUUAGAAGGCCUUAGCUGGAGUUCCGGCUCCAACCCUGAGAAGCUGUGGGACUUUGGGGGACUCAUUUCACCUCUCUGAACCCCAGUUUCCUCCUCCAUGAUAUGGGGACUGUAUCACCUAUGUUCAAAUGGUAAGCCCCGAGGGAACGGGAUUUCUUUCAAGGCCUGGCUUAGCUGUCUCCUCCUCCAGGAAGCCUCCCUUGGCUUCCUCAACAUACAAGUUCCCUCCGUCAGCUCUCGAUAACCACCAGCCGCAUUCUGGCCCCACUGGGAGCUUGAACUCAUUUGCCUCACACAGACUUCACUUACAAAUUGCAAUCCCCACUUUGCAGGCCCAGAGAGGCACAGAGGUGAGCGGCUCAGCCCUUCACCGGGUGGAAGGGUUGGAGUGCUGAAGGAGGGGGUCGGAUAUAAGGCACAGAGGAGCCAAAGCCCGGGGGAGGACAGUUGGAAGAACGCAGUUUGAGCAGGUGGCCAGAAUAGGGGGGACUCCCCAGAGGGGGACGGAAGGGGUGAGGAAAGACCACUUUCAAACACCUGGCCCGACACAGCCACCCGAAGCCCCCGCCCCCUUUCUUGAGGUUUCUCUUUGUGGCUCCCAGGGGUCCCUUUCGAAAGACCUCGGAGGGGUGAAUGCUUACCCCUCCCCUUCUCCUGGCCAGCCCUGUGGGAAGACUUCCUACACGUGUAACCUGCGCCAGAGGAACAGCACCUGUCGCCACCCCCGCCCAGCCCAGGCAGAUGAGGAAACAGGCUCAGGAAAGUGGGGCCGUGGAGGACAACACUGGGUACCAACAGCCAAGCCCCCUCCCUCCACGUCCUCCAGCUCAUCUGCUUUUGUUCACUAACUCUCCGCCUAUGAUUCUGCCCGUCCAUCUCAGCCCCAAAGCAGGAGCCCAGAUGGACCAUCAGAGCCCCCCUGGACCCCUCUAGGGCCACCCAGCCACCCACCACUUCUCUUCUCCAUCUUGCCCAGAACCUCGCAUGGAGAUGAAAAGCGACAGGCCCCACAUUCAGAGUCUGGCUUUCCAGCCCCUGGAUCACCCUCCUGGGUCCUUCUGCGCCACACUCCCCACCGCAGCAGACGGUGCUCCUGAGCUAGGAGGCAGGCGGACAUCCUGACCAAGUUCUGUCACUCAGCUGUGUGACCCUGGGCAAAUCACUCAACUUCUCUGAGCCAGCAUCCUUAUCUACAAAUGGGACGACAGGAUGAACUUCUGCUCCUCACAGCCACCCUCACGAGACCGUUAUAUAGAUUCAGGGAGAUAAGGUAAAACUAGCCCAGAGAUGCAGUUUCUACUUCCCUGCCUCAUCCUUGGCACUCACGCUGUGAGGGGACCACAAAGAGCAGCUCCCAGUGAUGAGAGCCACUUUAACGCUCUACCGUGGCACAGCCAUGUUCCUAACCUCAGCAGCUCUGGGGAAUGGCCGGGCUCGCGAUUAGGCUAAGAACUCUGGAGUGAGAUGCUGGAAUUCAAGCUCCUACUUAGCAGCUGAUAGCCGUGGCACUUGACCUCUCCCAGUCUUUUUGUUUAGUCUGUAAAGAAGGACUGUUCUGAAGACUAAGGAUUUAUAUAAGAUAAGCCCUUCCCACAGGGCCUGGCACACGGCUGCCAGUCAGCACGUUACUCAUUACUCCCAAUUAUGCCACUAGACCUGGUCCUCAGAACCAGGGCAGGAAUCAUUAGCCCAGUGGUCAGGUGAGGAAACUGAGGCGGGAGGCAAGGAUGUGCCCAAGUCACAGUCGACCUGGGUUGGGUCUGAGAAAUGAACCUGGCGGCUGACUGGCAAACGCCAGAAAAAAACCCUGGAGGACUGAACAGACAAGGCCUGACCAGGUGUCCCUCUACCCCCGUCCUGAGUGGAGUUGUGGGUCUGCCCACCUGGGGCCCUCCUCCGUCAGACGCUCUGCUCCCGGGCCUAAGGGGUGGCCUGUUCCCCAAAGCGCGCCAGUGCCCGGCACACAGCGGGCGCUCAGGGACGAGGAAUGAAUGACCGAGGGAUGGAUGACCGCCGGGGUCCUGUUUUUCUGUUCCUGGAACGACACUCCUUCCACGGCCCAACUGCCCGCUAACUGCAUCCUGUCCCAGACAUCCAAAACCGCGUGCACCCCAAGAAAGAACUUCCAAAGCAGUCACCCCCGCGUGCAGAAACACCACACUUGGCAAGGGCGGCCAGCUCCCCCGCACAUGGCCGGGGGUUCACGCGCGGCCUCGGGAUCCCACGCCCCCUUCCAGGAAACAAACUCUUCCUCCUGGCCCCCUCCUUCCUGGUCUGCCCCAUGACUCAUGCCAGAGCCGGGCGGGCAGGAGAGCGCGGUUAACCAGGGUGGCACGGAGACGCCUUCACCGUGACUAGGCAGAACAGCAGCGGCCCCGCCUGCACCUACUUCCCGGGGGACGCGCGCGGGGGCGGGGCCGGGGCAGGGCCCCCGCGCCCCGGGCGCCGGAAAACUGCACACACACCCGCUCCGCCAUUGGCCGCUCCGGCCACGGGGACCUGUGGGGUGGUCCUCGCCCAGCCAAUCAGGGGCCCCGGGGAGCCCAUUCAUUCACAAACCCCAGCAGGAAAAGAAGCGCGGCGAGGCCCGGCGCUGCGUGGAACUUUGAAGCCCGCGCGCGGUGCGCGGGGCCGAGGCAGGAGUCCGGAAGGGCUCGAGCGCAGAAAGCGACGCGCGUGCGGGGACCGUCGCGUCCCCGCCCACAGCUCUGGCCCAGCGAGCCAGGCGAGGCGCGCCCUUCUCCCGGGCCGCGCCGCCCCGGGCUCCGCCUCCGGCCCAUUAGGACGCGCCGGCCGCAGCUCCAGGCGUGUCGCUGAGAGCCAUUCAGCCCCGAGGGAAGCGGCGCCCAGUUAGCUUCCUGGCUGCGGGCUCCGGCGAUGAGGUCCACGCAGGUGGCCAGGCGGCGGCGGCGGCGGCGGCCACGUGCGCGCUCAGCAUGGCGCCCCCCACCGUUCCAUCUCCCCCCGCCGGC
Non-coding RNA from Equus caballus (horse), 10870 nucleotides. The record is from RefSeq and is a predicted model, not a curated record. Lineage: Eukaryota; Metazoa; Chordata; Mammalia; Perissodactyla; Equidae.